UACGUAGGUGGCGAGCGUUGUCCGGAAUUACUGGGUGUAAAGGGCGCGUAGGUGGGAAAUUAAGUCAGAUGUGAAAUUCCCGGGCUUAACUUGGGCGCUGCAUCUGAAACUAAUUUUCUUGAGUGCUGGAGAGGGAAGCGGAAUUCCCAGUGUAGCGGUGAAAUGCGUAGAUAUUGGGAGGAACACCAGUGGCGAAGGCGGCUUCCUGGACGGUAACUGACACUGAGGCGCGAAAGCGUGGGGAG
RNAcentral lists this ribosomal RNA (245 nucleotides) under uncultured bacterium. RNAcentral describes it as "partial 16S ribosomal RNA". It matches the Rfam family "Bacterial small subunit ribosomal RNA", at positions 524 to 768 of the family's 1533-position model. The record is from RNAcentral.